Molecule: ribosomal RNA, 253 nt
Filed under: uncultured bacterium
Lineage: Bacteria
Description: partial 16S ribosomal RNA
Rfam family: Bacterial small subunit ribosomal RNA
Source: RNAcentral
UACGUAGGGGGCAAGCGUUAUCCGGAUUUACUGGGUGUAAAGGGAGCGUAGACGGCGAUGCAAGUCUGAAGUGAAAGGCGGGGGCCCAACCCCCGGACUGCUUCGGAAACUGUAUGGCUGGAGUGCAGGAGAGGUAAGUGGAAUUCCUAGUGUAGCGGUGAAAUGCGUAGAUAUUAGGAGGAACGCCAGUGGCGAAGGCGGCUUACUGGACUGUAACUGACGUUGAGGCUCGAAAGCGUGGGGAGCAAACAGG